This is a long non-coding RNA of Stegostoma tigrinum, 504 nucleotides long. RefSeq lists it as uncharacterized. The record is from RefSeq and is a predicted model, not a curated record. NCBI's taxonomy places the organism in Eukaryota, Metazoa, Chordata, Chondrichthyes, Orectolobiformes, Stegostomatidae. The transcript has 3 exons.
GGCGUAUUACAGCUAUGGAGCAUGCGUACUGGAAAGGGAUAUCCGAAAUGAAACGGUCCUCCAUGAGAGCCACAAGCGGGCAUUCAACAACGUGAAAACUGGAUUGAAAGUGAGAGACAGAGCAGCCACUGCAGAAGCUUCCAAAAUCACUCUGCCCCUUCUUGAACUGCUGGAAUCUGCAUAGUGAAGCAGCUCCCAUGUUGCAAAUUGGACGACCAGAGCAGCACACAGUGCUCCAGAAGAGGACUCGCCAACAUCACUUCCCAACACCUGUACUCAAAAGGCCUGAGCAAUGAAGACAAGUGUGCUAAAUGCCUUCCUAACCACCCUGUCUACCUGUGAUGCAAAUUUCAAAGAAUGAUGUACCUGAAACCCGACGUUUUCUCCUGAUCUGCAACACUACCCAGAGCCCAACCAUUAAUUGUGCAAGUCCUGCCUUUGUGAAGUAUUGCGUUGUGGUAAAACAAACAUUUAUCCAAAUAAAAUUCAAUCUGCCAUUCCUCA